This is a microRNA precursor of Corchorus capsularis, 89 nucleotides long. It matches the Rfam family "mir-156 microRNA precursor family". From Rfam's summary of the family: This family represents the plant microRNA (miRNA) precursor mir-156. Animal miRNAs are transcribed as ~70nt precursors and subsequently processed by the Dicer enzyme to give a ~22nt product. NCBI's taxonomy places the organism in Eukaryota, Viridiplantae, Streptophyta, Magnoliopsida, Malvales, Malvaceae. The record is from Rfam.
GUGACAGAAGAGAGUGAGCACACAUAGUUCUUUCUUGCAUGAGUAUUGUAUCGUGCUUGAAACUUUAUGUGCUUGCUCUUUUCUGUCAC